Molecule: non-coding RNA, 84 nt
Organism: Podarcis lilfordi (Lilford's wall lizard)
Lineage: Eukaryota; Metazoa; Chordata; Lepidosauria; Squamata; Lacertidae
Source: the annotation of a GenBank genome assembly
ACAGCUGGAUAGCUCAGCUGAUUAGAGCGUGGCGCUGAUAAUGCCAAGGUUAUAGGUCUGAUCCCUCUGUAUGGGGCAGCUGCA